Molecule: ribosomal RNA, 253 nt
Filed under: uncultured bacterium
Lineage: Bacteria
Description: partial 16S ribosomal RNA
Rfam family: Bacterial small subunit ribosomal RNA
Source: RNAcentral
UACGGAGGGUGCAAGCGUUAUCCGGAUUUACUGGGUUUAAAGGGUGUGUAGGCGGACUAUUAAGUCAGCGGUGAAAUCUCCGGGCUCAACCCGGAAACUGCCAUUGAUACUAUUAGUCUUGAAUGUUGUUGAGGUGGGCGGAACGGGUCAUGUAGCGGCGAAAUGCAUAGAUAUGACCCGGAACACCGAUUGCGAAGGCAGCCCACUAAGCAACGAUUGACGCUGAGGCACGAAAGCGUGGGGAUCAAACAGG